This 497-nucleotide ribosomal RNA is filed under the name uncultured bacterium. RNAcentral describes it as "partial 16S ribosomal RNA". It matches the Rfam family "Bacterial small subunit ribosomal RNA", at positions 30 to 522 of the family's 1533-position model. The record is from RNAcentral.
AUUGAACGCUGGCGGCAUGCCUUACACAUGCAAGUCGAACGGUAACAGGUCUUCGGAUGCUGACGAGUGGCGAACGGGUGAGUAAUACAUCGGAACGUGCCUAGUAGUGGGGGAUAACUACUCGAAAGAGUGGCUAAUACCGCAUGAGAUCUACGGAUGAAAGCAGGGGAUCGCAAGACCUUGUGCUACUAGAGCGGCCGAUUGCAGAUUAGGUAGGUGGUGGGAUAAAAGCUUACCAAGCCGACGAUCUGUAGCGGGUCUGAGAGGACGAGCAGCAGCACUGGGACUGAGAAACGGCCCAGACUCCUACGGGAGGCAGCAGUGGGGAAUUUUGGACAAUGGGCGCAAGCCUGAUCCAGCAAUGCCGCGUGCAGGAUGAAGGCCUUCGGGUUGUAAACUGCUUUUGUACGGAACGAAAAGCCCCGGGUUAAUACCCUGGGGUCAUGACGGUACCGUAAGAAUAAGCACCGGCUAACUUCGUGCCAGCAGCCGCAGUA